RNAcentral lists this ribosomal RNA (238 nucleotides) under uncultured bacterium. RNAcentral describes it as "partial 16S ribosomal RNA". It matches the Rfam family "Bacterial small subunit ribosomal RNA", at positions 334 to 564 of the family's 1533-position model. The record is from RNAcentral.
UUUACCUACGGGACGCAGCAGUAGGAAAUCUUCCACAAUGGACGAAAGUUUGAUGGAGCAACGCCGCGUGAGUGAAGAAGGGUUUCGGCUCGUAAAGCUCUGUUGGUAGUGAAGAAAGAUAGAGGUAGUAACUGGCCUUUAUUUGACGGGAAUUAUUUAGAAAGUCACGGCUAACUACGUGCCAGCAGCCGCGGUAAUACGUAGGUGGCAAGCGUUGGCCGGAUUUAUUGGGCGUAAA